UUGACCUCGGAUCAGGUAGGAAUACCCGCUGAACUUAAGCAUAUCAAUAAGCGGAGGAAAAGAAACCAACAGGGAUUGCCCUAGUAACGGCGAGUGAAGCGGCAACAGCUCAAAUUUGAAAUCUGGCUCUCGGGCCCGAGUUGUAAUUUGUAGAGGAUGCUUUUGAUGCGGUGCCUUCCGAGUUCCCUGGAACGGGACGCCAUAGAGGGUGAGAGCCCCGUCUGGUUGGAUGCCAAAUCUCUGUAAAGCUCCUUCGACGAGUCGAGUAGUUUGGGAAAUGCUGCUCUAAAAUGGGAGGUAUAUGUCUUCUAAAGCUAAAUACCGGCCAGAGACCGAUAGCGCACAAGUAGAGUGAUCGAAAGAUGAAAAGCACUUUGAAAAGAGAGUUAAAAAGUACGUGAAAUUGUUGAAAGGGAAGCGUUUAUGACCAGACUUGGGCUUGGUUAAUCAUCUGGGGUUCUCCCCAGUGCACUUUUCCAGUCCAGGCCAGCAUCAGUUUUCGCCGGGGGAUAAAGGCUUCGGGAAUGUGGCUCCCUCCGGGGAGUGUUAUAGCCCGUUGCGUAAUACCCUGGCGGGGACUGAGGUUCGCGCUUCUGCAAGGGAUGCUCGCGUAAUUCUACAAC
Molecule: ribosomal RNA, 623 nt
Filed under: Fusarium brachygibbosum
Lineage: Eukaryota; Fungi; Ascomycota; Sordariomycetes; Hypocreales; Nectriaceae
Description: eukaryotic LSU rRNA
Rfam family: Eukaryotic large subunit ribosomal RNA
Source: RNAcentral